Molecule: ribosomal RNA, 775 nt
Filed under: Salmonella enterica subsp. enterica serovar Virchow
Lineage: Bacteria; Pseudomonadati; Pseudomonadota; Gammaproteobacteria; Enterobacterales; Enterobacteriaceae
Also listed under: 1 other name
Description: partial 23S ribosomal RNA
Rfam family: Bacterial large subunit ribosomal RNA
Source: RNAcentral
AGACCCGAAACCCGGUGAUCUAGCCAUGGGCAGGUUGAAGGUUGGGUAACACUAACUGGAGGACCGAACCGACUAAUGUUGAAAAAUUAGCGGAUGACCUGUGGCUGGGGGUGAAAGGCCAAUCAAACCGGGAGAUAGCUGGUUCUCCCCGAAAGCUAUUUAGGUAGCGCCUCGUGAAUUCAUCUCCGGGGGUAGAGCACUGUUUCGGCUAGGGGGCCAUCCCGGCUUACCAACCCGAUGCAAACUGCGAAUACCGGAGAAUGUUAUCACGGGAGACACACGGCGGGUGCUAACGUCCGUCGUGAAGAGGGAAACAACCCAGACCGCCAGCUAAGGUCCCAAAGUCAUGGUUAAGUGGGAAACGAUGUGGGAAGGCCCAGACAGCCAGGAUGUUGGCUUAGAAGCAGCCAUCAUUUAAAGAAAGCGUAAUAGCUCACUGGUCGAGUCGGCCUGCGCGGAAGAUGUAACGGGGCUAAACCAUGCACCGAAGCUGCGGCAGCGACACUGUGUGUUGUUGGGUAGGGGAGCGUUCUGUAAGCCUGUGAAGGUGGCCUGUGAGGGUUGCUGGAGGUAUCAGAAGUGCGAAUGCUGACAUAAGUAACGAUAAAGCGGGUGAAAAGCCCGCUCGCCGGAAGACCAAGGGUUCCUGUCCAACGUUAAUCGGGGCAGGGUGAGUCGACCCCUAAGGCGAGGCCGAAAGGCGUAGUCGAUGGGAAACGGGUUAAUAUUCCCGUACUUGGUGUUACUGCGAAGGGGGGACGGAGAAGGCUAUGUU